CGCAGCUGCAACAACAUCAACAAUACUUAACACACAAAAAGUUGAAAUUAUACCUUGGAGGAAGUAAUUUGGUUCUGGCACAUUUUUUUAUCUAGUCCCUAAGUUACUUGUUGAGAAAUCAUGGGCAAGUUACAAUGAAGAAUUUUUGUUGUCAUAGAAAACCAAGACUGACAAAUAAAAUAUAUAAAUAAGUACAGAAUACAGAACCGAGAAAGUAAGCCAAGAUUUUCUUUAAACAAAAAAAAAGGGGGGGGGGGGGGGGGGUUGUCUGUAAGUCGGUUUACGGACGAUAAUUUUACGUGAUAACGUCAUAAGAAAACAUUGAUGAAAAAUUGCAUAUUUUUUAAUUUUCAAAUAUUAUUUACAUUUUUUGCAAAUUUAAUUCAAAUAAUUUGUUUAAAUAUAAUCACGAACAAUUAGUUAAAAAGCCCGUCUUAACCUGUUUGAUAUUAUAGAAGAUUUUCUCGCACGGUGGUUGGCCGGUUCUUGCACGCUCGGCUCAGGCGGAACGUGACAAUUUUUUGUGCGUGCAGCCGGCAUUCAUAGAUUUAUAAGACGUUAUCAAGUCAAAAAAAAAUUAUUUUGAAGAAGGAAUCAAGCAAGUAAAACAAAAAACAAAAAACCCCACAAAAAUAGCUGGACACACAACAAAGAAGAAAAAAAGAGGGGAAAUCAACCAAGAGCAAGCAAACAGAUAUUUACGAUGCAAAUAUUAUCUCCCAAGCAAACAAAUUGGUGAAAAACUAGAUAUGCACACAAAUAAGAAGAACAAAAUAAAAGUAACUCAGACAAACCAGGAGGCUUACUGUGGCGGAACAUUUCAAGGUUUCGAGAACUUCGAUGUGAUCCUGUCACGGGGCACAGUUUUUAGUGUUUGACUUUGCAGACUCUGGACUGCAGAGUUAAACUGAAUUUUACUCUCGUGUCCCACGAUUCCUCUGUGUAUGGUGUAUUCAAAUUCUUCUGCUAGCACAAUACAGCUGCCAUUCUUAAAGUCAGCAGCAACUAAACAGCACGUAUGUGGCUUCGUUAUAGCCUGUGAGGCAUGACAUGACACAGAAAAAGAUGUGACAAAAACGAUCAAAGACUAAAAUAACGAAACAAUAGUUUUUACAUAUUCCUUUUGUUAUGUAAAUUGUACCGAACUGUGUUGUCUGACAAGAUAUGAAACACCAAUUUAUUUUUUAUGGGUUUUAAUUUUGUGUUUUUUGUGUUAAUCUAAUUGCAUAGAUUAUGUGUGUAGAGAGAGAGAGAAUGUGCAUCAAUUUGUUGGCAGAUCUAUGUAGAUAUGUGUAGAUUUUGUAUAGAUGUGCGUCGAUGUUUGUCGAUUUGGGGCGAAUAUGUUCUUUGAUGUGUGUAGAUUUGUGUGUAUAUGUGUGUCGUAACGUUGGUAUCCUAAGUACACAAGAAAAUCUAUCAAAACAGUUUUAAGGAAAGGUGAACAUAUGCUGCAUGCUGAGAAUGUUAAUAAUAUUGUGUUCGCAGAUACUUGGCGCAUAUUCAUAUAUUUGGCAUUUUCGCUACUCUGUCAUAUAGUGUGUCAGUGAAAGCUUGAAGCAUACCAAGUAUCGUAAGGUUUGUGAAUACAAGAUAGCGACCAUGACUUCAAAUGUUAAGUCAAAGUCAUUUAAUAUGACUUCCCCAGGGUCAAAGAAAUCUAAAAUGGUGGCCAUGAUGUCAUCCAAGGUGGCGUAACUCCAUCAUAGCACCACAGUCUGAAGCCUAUGCUAGGAAAUUCAUCAUACUACGAAACAAUAUUAGAGUAAAAAAUUUUAAUACAAUUGUUUAAUUAAUGUUAUUAUACGUAGCAUUAUAAAUAUUGUGGCCUUAAUAUACAAAAAAUAUACUCUAAAUGUAGACUUGGUCAGACCAAACCAUUUAGUUUUGAAAUGUGCUUUAAUUCUCAAAUAUUCUCAAAUGAAGACUGACCCGGAUACAGACAAUAGGAAACAUUUGUAUUAAUGAGUUUGGUUAUUUGAUGUAAAAAGAAUAUCUUCUUGUAAAUGAUGUGUAUCAAUAAAAUGCUGGCUACUUUAAUAACAAA
Molecule: long non-coding RNA, 2044 nt
Organism: Bacillus rossius redtenbacheri
Lineage: Eukaryota; Metazoa; Arthropoda; Insecta; Phasmatodea; Bacillidae
Exons: 2
Source: RefSeq, a predicted model, not a curated record